RNAcentral lists this ribosomal RNA (253 nucleotides) under uncultured bacterium. RNAcentral describes it as "partial 16S ribosomal RNA". It matches the Rfam family "Bacterial small subunit ribosomal RNA", at positions 524 to 776 of the family's 1533-position model. The record is from RNAcentral.
UACAGAGGUCUCAAGCGUUGUUCGGAUUCAUUGGGCGUAAAGGGUGCGCAGGCGGCCGUGUGUGUGAGGCGUGAAAGCCUGGAGCUUAACUCCAGAAUUGCACCUCAAACUACAUGGCUAGAGCAUUGGAGAGGGUAGCAGAAUUCAUGGUGUAGCAGUGAAAUGCGUAGAUAUCAUGAGGAAUACCAGAGGCGAAGGCGGCUACCUGGACAAUUGCUGACGCUCAGGCACGAAAGCGUGGGGAGCAAAAGGG